Molecule: ribosomal RNA, 238 nt
Filed under: uncultured bacterium
Lineage: Bacteria
Description: partial 16S ribosomal RNA
Rfam family: Bacterial small subunit ribosomal RNA
Source: RNAcentral
GAUCCUGGCUCAGGAUGAACGCUAGCUACAGGCUUAACACAUGCAAGUCGAGGGGCAGCAUCAUCAAAGCUUGCUUUGAUGGAUGGCGACCGGCGCACGGGUGAGUAACACGUAUCCAACCUGCCGACAACACUGGGAUAGCCUUUCGAAAGAAAGAUAAAUACCGGAUGGCAUAGUUUUCCCGCAUGGGAUAAUUAUUAAAGAAUUUCGGUUGCCGAUGGGGAUGCGUUCCAUUAGG